AUACGUAGGUGGCAAGCGUUGUCCGGAAUCACUGGGCGUAAAGCGCGCGCAGGCGGCGAUCUACGUCUGGGGUGAAAGCCCGGAGCUCAACUCCGGGACUGCCUUGGAUACGGGAUCGCUUGAGGAUUGGAGAGGCAAGGGGAAUUCCACGUGUAGCGGUGAAAUGCGUAGAUAUGUGGAGGAACACCUGUGGCGAAGGCGCCUUGCUGGCCAAUUUCUGACGCUGAGGCGCGAAAGCGUGGGGAGCAAACAGGAUUAGAUACCCUGGUAGUCCACGCCGUAAACGAUGAGUGCUAGGUGUUGGGGGGUACCACCCUCAGUGCCGAAGCUAACGCAUUAAGCACUCCGCCUGGGGAGUACGGUCGCAAGACUGAA
Molecule: ribosomal RNA, 375 nt
Filed under: uncultured bacterium
Lineage: Bacteria
Description: bacterial SSU rRNA
Rfam family: Bacterial small subunit ribosomal RNA
Source: RNAcentral